Molecule: ribosomal RNA, 622 nt
Filed under: uncultured bacterium
Lineage: Bacteria
Description: bacterial SSU rRNA
Rfam family: Bacterial small subunit ribosomal RNA (bases 1-542)
Source: RNAcentral
CCUACGGGAGGCAGCAGUGGGGAAUUUUGGACAAUGGGCGAAAGCCUGAUCCAGCCAUUCCGCGUGCAGGAUGAAGGCCCUCGGGUUGUAAACUGCUUUUGUACAGAACGAAAAGGUUUCUAUUAAUACUAGGAGCUCAUGACGGUACUGUAAGAAUAAGCACCGGCUAACUACGUGCCAGCAGCCGCGGUAAUACGUAGGGUGCAAGCGUUAAUCGGAAUUGCUGGGCGUAAAGCGUGCGCAGGCGGUUAUAUAAGUCAGAUGUGAAAUCCCCGGGCUCAACCUGGGAACUGCAUUUGAGACUGUAUAGCUAGAGUACGGUAGAGGGGGAUGGAAUUCCGCGUGUAGCAGUGAAAUGCGUAGAUAUGCGGAGGAACACCGAUGGCGAAGGCAAUCCCCUGGACCUGUACUGACGCUCAUGCACGAAAGCGUGGGGAGCAAACAGGAUUAGAUACCCUGGUAGUCCACGCCCUAAACGAUGUCAACUGGUUGUUGGGUCUUAACUGACUCAGUAACGAAGCUAACGCGUGAAGUUGACCGCCUGGGGAGGUACGGCGCGAGUAGUAACGACGAAGAAGUAGACGGCGUGAGACGUAGCGACGGACGACGACGAGGGAGGAGG